Molecule: ribosomal RNA, 373 nt
Filed under: Rhodnius pictipes
Lineage: Eukaryota; Metazoa; Arthropoda; Insecta; Hemiptera; Reduviidae
Description: partial large subunit ribosomal RNA
Source: RNAcentral
UCUUUUUGAUUAUUAUAUAAGGUCUGGCCUGCCCAAUGAGGAAUUGAAUGGCUGCGGUAUUUUAACCGUGCUAAGGUAGCAUAAUCAUUUGUCUUUUAAUUGAGGGCUUGUAUGAAAGGUUGGAUGAAUCAAUAACUUUCUUUAAUUUAAUUUAUGAAUUUAAUUUUUUAGUCAAAAAGCUAAAAUAUUUUUAUUGGACGAGAAGACCCUAUAGAUCUUUACAGGUUAUUAAAUUUGAUAAUUUAGGGAAUUACUUAUUUUUAUUUAAAAUCUUGUUUGAUUGGGGUGAUUGUAGAAUUUUAUAAACUUCUAUUGUUUGAUUUUCAAUAAUUAUUGUUUAAUUGAUCCAUAAUAUGAUGAUUAAAAGAUUAAG